UAACGCUUGGUGUUGACCCAUCCUGCAGUCGAGCGGACAGAUGGGAGCUUGCUCCCUGAUGUUAGCGGCGGACGGGUGAGUAACACGUGGGUAACCUGCCUGUAAGACUGGGAUAACUCCGGGAAACCGGGGCUAAUACCGGAUGGUUGUUUGAACCGCAUGGUUCAGACAUAAAAGGUGGCUUCGGCUACCACUUACAGAUGGACCCGCGGCGCAUUAGCUAGUUGGUGAGGUAACGGCUCACCAAGGCAACGAUGCGUAGCCGACCUGAGAGGGUGAUCGGCCACACUGGGACUGAGACACGGCCCAGACUCCUACGGGAGGCAGCAGUAGGGAAUCUUCCGCAAUGGACGAAAGUCUGACGGAGCAACGCCGCGUGAGUGAUGAAGGUUUUCGGAUCGUAAAGCUCUGUUGUUAGGGAAGAACAAGUGCCGUUCAAAUAGGGCGGCACCUUGACGGUACCUAACCAGAAAGCCACGGCUAACUACGUGCCAGCAGCCGCGGUAAUACGUAGGUGGCAAGCGUUGUCCGGAAUUAUUGGGCGUAAAGGGCUCGCAGGCGGUUUCUUAAGUCUGAUGUGAAAGCCCCCGGCUCAACCGGGGAGGGUCAUUGGAAACUGGGGAACUUGAGUGCAGAAGAGGAGAGUGGAAUUCCACGUGUAGCGGUGAAAUGCGUAGAGAUGUGGAGGAACACCAGUGGCGAAGGCGACUCUCUGGUCUGUAACUGACGCUGAGGAGCGAAAGCGUGGGGAGCGAACAGGAUUAGAUACCCUGGUAGUCCACGCCGUAAACGAUGAGUGCUAAGUGUUAGGGGGGUUUCCCCCCUUAGUGCUGCAGCUAACGCAUUAAGCACUCCGCCUGGGGAGUACGGUCGCAAGACUGAAACUCAAAGGAAUUGACGAGGGGCCCGC
Molecule: ribosomal RNA, 910 nt
Filed under: Bacillus inaquosorum
Lineage: Bacteria; Bacillati; Bacillota; Bacilli; Caryophanales; Bacillaceae
Description: bacterial SSU rRNA
Rfam family: Bacterial small subunit ribosomal RNA
Source: RNAcentral